ACUUGUUGAGUCAAGCAUUUUCUAAGGUCAUUAAAUUUUAUGCCCUGUUCAUAACAAUUUCCGGAACAGCUAUACCCCGUGCAGAAGAUCAGGUACCAGGGAAAGGUAGCCGUUCAGGUUUCAGUUAUUCAACAAUGCCGUUGAAAUAAGACCGGCACGUCUUGAAUAAGUCAUUUCUGACUCCGUUCUGGUGGUAGGGGACAUUGUUUUGCUGUUGGGUAUGGAUCAAGCUGCAAGUACAGAAGAGGAUGGUGUAUUCACCACCAUUUCGUUAACUGAUGACCCAGUGGAUUCUGGAUCUACUAUCUCUGAUUCAAAACUUGACAGUGACCUGUUCGUGAUGAAUGCAGAUAUGGAAGUUAUUGACCCUGAGAACCAAGUAGAAUUAGAAGAGAAGACACGACUGAUUAACCAAGUGCUGGAACUCCAGCACACUUUAGAAGAGCUGUCUGCACGUGUAGAUGCUGUAAAAGAAGAGAAUCUUAAACUAAAGUCUGAAAAUCAAGUCCUUGGGCAAUAUAUAGAAAAUCUCAUGUCAGCUUCUAGUGUUUUCCAGACAACAGACACAAAAAGCAAACGAAACUCAAUGGAGGAAAUUUAAGACAUUCCAGGGAUGAGGAGCUGAAAUGAGUAUCUUCCAGUGAGCAAACCAUAGCUGCACUGAAACCUGAACAGAAGAGUUUAAAACUUGGUGAUGGAGAUUUGGGAGACAUCAACUGUAAAGGACGGACUUAAAGGAAAGUGCGAAUGGAAUCUGCACUCAAAUACUGGAAUAGUAGCUGAAAAACAUGACCUGUAAAUACAAGAGUGCUACCAGUCUGUCAAGGUAGACAGAGUCCAGCAUAUAAAGAAUUGUCGGAGGAGAAUGUGCCCAAUCAUUCCAGAGUUUAAUAAAUCAUUAAACUCCUCCAGGUGAGAAGAAUUAAUACAACGACCCUUCAUUACAUUGUAGAUCUCAACUCAUCCAAGAAAUUUCAUAAUUGAUUUGCCAACUAUUGUGAUAUUUUGCAAAUACAUCCGAUUUUUAUAUUCAGUUGUGUCAAUCAGUUCCUGCUCUGUACAAAUGUUUUUACCAAGUUAAUCAAGUUUGUAUUUUUCUAUUUUAAUAAUCUUGAAAACCUUAAUCACAUCAGUGAACACAAUUGUGCAAUGUUUCUAAUUUGUUGCCCUCUUGCACUACAGGUCUUAACAUAAUUUCAGUUAGGUAUUUUUCUGAAAUGAACUAUGAUACAAGAUUUAAUUAUGAAUCUCCCUCACAGCAUUCAGUUGUCAUUCUAGAAUUCUCAUCCUAAAUCCAUUCAUCUUGUUCAAGGUUGACUUCUAACUAGGAGCUGAAUAUUCCCGUUUUCAGGCUGUUAUUAGAGAGUUUCAUGGCUCCUGUCCCAUUAUUUUUCUUGAUUUUUCUCACCCUACCUUCCACUGCUCCCCUCAUUAAAUAUGCAGCUGAGCACUAUGAUGUCCAUUUCGUGCAAUCACAUGGCAGCAGAGGUAGAAGUGUCUAUUACUGCCAGGACCUUAUGGCUCCAGUAAUUUGAAUACCAUAUGUAAACCCCUACAACGCAUCACUUCAGAACUGCCCUUCAUGCUGUGUUGGUCCACUUAUCACAGGACAGGGCUUCCCAAAGUGGGGGUUAGGAGCCCAAGUGGGGUCGAGUGAAACUUUGGGAUGCAAACUUAGAGGCUGGAAGGGCCACCACAACAGCGAGAUACUUGUUGUCCAGUUCUCUCUGUUCUCACCCAAGUGUUGUGAACUUUUUCAAAUCUCAAGAUGAGGUUGAGUAGUAAUUGGGGUGGUUGUUAGGAAGGCCAUUCUCUUUCCUGUGGAUUGGCAAAAGGAGGCCAUGCCACCAAACCCAGUCAGCCUAGACCCAGAUAACAGGCCUAGACAUAGGUUUUUUGUUUUGUUCAAGAAAUAGCAAAGUGCUCUAAGAAGGUCAAUGAUCUUCUGCACUCUGCAAGGCUGAGUACUACCAUCUUCUCUCUGCUAUUUCACACUCAGUAACUCUGCCACUGCACUGUAACAGCACCAAGGUUAAUGGACUACAACUCUCCUUAUUACAGGCAAAAGAGCCAGUCAACUGCUCUCACCUACCUCAUCCUCCCAAACUAACCCUGUAGGAAGUAAGAGUAGGGAGCACAAACUCCCCACCUGCUCUCCCAUCCACUUUCCACAAACUGAAUCCCUCCUUUGUCUCAAGGCAAAAACAUCUUACAAGCAGACGCCAAGACGGUUAGCAGAAUGGCUGACAUUCAGCUCAUUCCUGAUGAGAAUAUCCUUCAGCUGGCUGGAGGGAAUUCGGGCUUCUCACUUGGUUAUGCUGAAUCCUUUAUGUCCAGCCAAUUCUGUAAACUUUAUUGUUCUGAUGCUGUACUGCUCUCCCAUUAACCACAACUGUUAACUUUUUCUUAAACUGCUCAAGCUUCUAUCCCAUUACACAGUAACCUUUCUUGACUUACACAGGCACCAGUGGCACCAACUCAACAUCUGUCCCAAAGAGGGCCGCGUCCCCUCCACCUGAGGAAAAUGCCACAGAUCCCUCAGAGGAAACACUGGCAAGGUUUUCUCCUGCAGCCUCUAGCAGCUCACCUUGGUUGGUUCACUUUCUAGACUAGAUGUGAGAGCAGAAUGUGGUAAGAACAUCAGUGGCACAUCUCCAUUGUUGAUCUUGGAAGAAAUGCCCUAGGUUGCUGGCACUCAGACAAAUACCUGCUCAGGCCCAGGCAGAGAUCAUUUCGUGCUGUUGUCUAGUAAUAAGUUCUUCCAAAUGCACAAGCAGUCACAGAAACAGCUGGCAAGUUUGUCAGAGACAAUCCAAUUUCACUCUGCUUCAGAUCUCCAGUCCUGUAGAGGCUGCAGCUAAGGAUGGGAAGUUGGCAUUGGGGCAGCUCAGGUACAAAGAGAUGGAUAAAGUUAACUUCCUUGGUUCCAUUUGAUGUUAUGGCUGGAUGACAGCUACCCCUUGCCCAACAGUUAUAUGAAUGUACAAUAGUUUCAUUCUUGAAUAUGGGAACAUCAGGCAAUAUUAAGCAUUCAAGCAGUUUGAAAAGGAAGAUUUUAUUCACAGGAAUGGCAAAGGCAAGCCAACCAAAAAGAUUCAUUUGUUUUGUCAGUAAGUAGAGGCUGCUUGCGUUUGCAGCAACAAAAAUGUAGAAAACUGAAUGAUGUCUUCACCCAGUUAAAACAUCUUGGAUAUAGGUAUCAUCAAAGUUCUGUCUCUUAUAGCACACAAUUGUGAUGUUCCUCCUGGUUUAUGUCCUCACUUGUUUGCGCAAGUGUGCUGUCACUCUGCUAGUUUCUCAGCAUUCAGAAAUCCAACUAAGAGUAGACAGGCUGCACUGGUGACAGUUCAGUGAUGAUAGCCCAGUUCACCCUUUGUUUUCAACUGCGCUAGUUCUCUGACAACUGUAGAUAAUGUCAGAGAAGCUGGCAUGUUUGGGUCUGCAGGCUCUUGUGGUGCACUGGCAGUGUCCCUACCUCUAGACUAGGAGGUUCAAGAUUCAAUAUCCACCUUCCCAGUCAUGUGUCAUAACAAGUCUAAACUUUCUCUUCUUUUCUCAUUUUUAUUUUGAAGUUUUCUAGUUUGUUUUUUCUACUUUCUGGAGAGACCUUGGUGGUGGAGGCAGCAGCAGCAGCGACAGCAUUGCAGCUUUCGGUUCUGGAGCAUGGCAAUGGCUGGGGGCCCCGGAUGAGGACUUUGACAGUCUGAGGUCGAGCUCAUUGCAGGAGGCGCAAGACCAACGUGGUGGUGAGGAAAGACCCCAGCAUCUGCGGUGGCAGCAAGAGCACCAAGGCACAAAGGUUUCCCGGAAAGUGGACCAAAGCUGCAGAAAUUGAUCCCUUGUGGGGAGUAUGACACCAGCAUGGCUAAACACUUAAGACUUUUCUUUUAAAAAGUUAAAAAUUCACUCUUCUAUGUAAUACUAAGGACUGUAAAGUUUAACUUUUAACUUUGCUUCUUUAUUUUUCUACAUUGUACCUAAAAUUGUGUCAUGAAUGGCGAUAUAAUGCAGUGAAAAGCGCACACAGAGUACAAAUGACAAAAUCUAAUUCUAAAUCUAACAGGUUGAUUAAAAAGAUCUAUUCUCUUCUCAUGCUCACUCUAGGCCUCUUGUUGUGCAGUAUUAGUGUGCUGAUCA
Rhincodon typus (whale shark) is the source of this 4137-nucleotide RNA transcript. It is a transcript of the gene named short coiled-coil protein B, with no coding region annotated. The transcript is spliced from 6 exons. The record is from RefSeq and is a predicted model, not a curated record. Lineage: Eukaryota; Metazoa; Chordata; Chondrichthyes; Orectolobiformes; Rhincodontidae.